UACAGAGGGUGCAAGCGUUAAUCGGAAUUACUGGGCGUAAAGCGUGCGUAGACGGUUACAUAAGUCGGGUGUGAAAGCCCCGGGCUCAACCUGGGAAUGGCGCGCGAAACGGGGGGGCUUGAGUUCGGGAGAGGAGCGUGGAAUUCCCAGUGUAGAGGUGAAAUUCGUAGAUAUUGGGAAGAACACCGGUGGCGAAGGCGGCGCUCUGGACCGAGACUGACGCUGAGGCGCGAAAGCGUGGGGAGCGAACAGG
RNAcentral lists this ribosomal RNA (253 nucleotides) under uncultured bacterium. Its description in RNAcentral is "partial 16S ribosomal RNA". It matches the Rfam family "Bacterial small subunit ribosomal RNA", at positions 524 to 776 of the family's 1533-position model. The record is from RNAcentral.